CCCACUGCCAUCAUGCCACAG
This 21-nucleotide unclassified non-coding RNA is filed under the name Mus musculus (house mouse). Its description in RNAcentral is "oocyte_clustered_small_RNA9448". The record is from RNAcentral. Lineage: Eukaryota; Metazoa; Chordata; Mammalia; Rodentia; Muridae.